CCUACGGGAGUCAGCAGUGAGGAAUAUUGGUCAAUGGCCGAGAGGCUGAACCAGCCAAGUCGCGUGAGGGAAGACGGCCCUACGGGUUGUAAACCUCUUUUGUCGGGGAGCAAAGCGAACCACGGGUGGUGCAUUGAGAGUACCCGAAGAAAAAGCAGCGGCUAACUCCGUGCCAGAAGCCGCGGGAAUACGGAGGAUGGGAUCGUUAUCCGGAUUUAUUGGGUUGAAAGGGUGCGCAGGCGGAGGUGCAAGUCAGCGGUCAAAUUGCGGGGCUCAACCCCGUACUGCCGUUGAAACUGCAUCCCUUGAGUGCGCGAGAAGUAUGCGGGAUGCGUGGUGUAGCGUUGAAAUGCAUAGAUAUCACGCAGAACUCCGAUUGCUAAGGCAGCAUACCGGCGCGCAACUGACGCUCAUGCACGAAAGCGUGGGUAUCGAACAGGAUUAGAUACCCUUGUAGUC
Molecule: ribosomal RNA, 459 nt
Filed under: uncultured bacterium
Lineage: Bacteria
Description: partial 16S ribosomal RNA
Rfam family: Bacterial small subunit ribosomal RNA
Source: RNAcentral